RNAcentral lists this ribosomal RNA (309 nucleotides) under uncultured eukaryote. RNAcentral's name for it is "partial large subunit ribosomal RNA". It matches the Rfam family "Eukaryotic large subunit ribosomal RNA", at positions 40 to 350 of the family's 3401-position model. The record is from RNAcentral.
AUAUUACUAAGCGGAGGAAAAGAAAUUAACGAAGAUUGCCUCAGUAGCGGCGAGCGAAGUGGCAAAAGCUCAAGUUAAAUCUGUGGCCUUCGGUCACCGAAUCGUAAUCUAAAGGGGUUAACAAAAGGGAAGAUUGAGGCAUAAGUCGCUUGGAACAGCGCGCCAAAGAGGGUGAUAGCCCCGUAUUUGGCCUCCGUCGACCUGAAUGUUGGCUCUCACAGAGUCGGGUUGUUUGGGAUUGCAGCCCUAAAUGGGAGAUAAAUUUCUUCUAAGGCUAAAUAUUGAUGGGAGACCGAUAGCGCACAAGUA